UACGUAGGUGGCAAGCGUUGUCCGGAAUCACUGGGCGUAAAGCGCGCGCAGGCGGCGAUCUACGUCUGGGGUGAAAGCCCGGAGCUCAACUCCGGGACUGCCUUGGAUACGGGAUCGCUUGAGGAUUGGAGAGGCAAGGGGAAUUCCACGUGUAGCGGUGAAAUGCGUAGAUAUGUGGAGGAAUACCGAUGGCGAAGGCAGCCCCCUGGGAUAACACUGACGCUCAUGCACGAAAGCGUGGGGAGCAAACAGG
This 253-nucleotide ribosomal RNA is filed under the name uncultured bacterium. RNAcentral's name for it is "partial 16S ribosomal RNA". It matches the Rfam family "Bacterial small subunit ribosomal RNA", at positions 524 to 776 of the family's 1533-position model. The record is from RNAcentral.